MicroRNA precursor from Bison bison bison, 89 nucleotides. Lineage: Eukaryota; Metazoa; Chordata; Mammalia; Artiodactyla; Bovidae. The record is from Ensembl.
CUGAUGGCUGCACUCAACAUUCAUUGCUGUCGGUGGGUUUGACUUUGAAUCAACUCACUGAUCAAUGAAUGUAAACUGCGGACCAAACA